RNAcentral lists this ribosomal RNA (253 nucleotides) under uncultured bacterium. RNAcentral describes it as "partial 16S ribosomal RNA". It matches the Rfam family "Bacterial small subunit ribosomal RNA", at positions 524 to 776 of the family's 1533-position model. The record is from RNAcentral.
UACGUAGGUGGCAAGCGUUGUCCGGAUUUACUGGGUGUAAAGGGCGUGUAGCCGGGCUGACAAGUCAGAUGUGAAAUCCGGGGGCUCAACCCCCGAACUGCAUUUGAAACUGUUGGUCUUGAGUAUCGGAGAGGCAGGCGGAAUUCCUAGUGUAGCGGUGAAAUGCGUAGAUAUUAGGAGGAACACCAGUGGCGAAGGCGGCCUGCUGGACGACAACUGACGGUGAGGCACGAAAGCGUGGGGAGCAAACAGG